Molecule: ribosomal RNA, 537 nt
Filed under: uncultured bacterium
Lineage: Bacteria
Description: partial 16S ribosomal RNA
Rfam family: Bacterial small subunit ribosomal RNA
Source: RNAcentral
UGGGGAAUUUUGGACAAUGGGCGAAAGCCUGAUCCAGCAAUGCCGCGUGUGUGAAGAAGGCCUUCGGGUUGUAAAGCACUUUUGUCCGGAAAGAAAUCCUUGGCUCUAAUACAGUCGGGGGAUGACGGUACCGGAAGAAUAAGCACCGGCUAACUACGUGCCAGCAGCCGCGGUAAUACGUAGGGUGCAAGCGUUAAUCGGAAUUACUGGGCGUAAAGCGUGCGCAGGCGGUUUGCUAAGACCGAUGUGAAAUCCCCGGGCUCAACCUGGGAACUGCAUUGGUGACUGGCAGGCUAGAGUAUGGCAGAGGGGGGUAGAAUUCCACGUGUAGCAGUGAAAUGCGUAGAGAUGUGGAGGAAUACCGAUGGCGAAGGCAGCCCCCUGGGCCAAUACUGACGCUCAUGCACGAAAGCGUGGGGAGCAAACAGGAUUAGAUACCCUGGUAGUCCACGCCCUAAAACGAUGUCAACUAGUUGUUGGGGAUUCAUUUCCUUAGUAACGUAGCUAACGCGUGAAGUUGACCGCCUGGGGAAGUAC